RNAcentral lists this long non-coding RNA (2023 nucleotides) under Homo sapiens (human). RNAcentral's name for it is "HSALNT0337170". The record is from RNAcentral. Lineage: Eukaryota; Metazoa; Chordata; Mammalia; Primates; Hominidae.
GAGUGAGACCCUGUCUCUAAUACAUAAAUAAAUAAAAACAAAGAUUCUUAAUACCCUUUACCUUUUUCAUUAGGAAAUAUUUUAUUAGGAAAUUUAUUAGGAAAUAUUUCAUUAGUGAAGGAAAGUCUCACUUUUUAAACUUGACUUUGACCAACACUCUGUUCUCAUGACUUAUGUCCCUUUAAUACCUAAAUCAUUUGCCUAGCUAAUUGGGCCUGCACCAGUGUGUACUGUUAGAUCCCAUGGAACGUUGACCUGACAGGUGUUCUAUUUGUCAGGCAGGGCUUUCCUUGGCUUCCCUUUUAUCAUUUCUUCUUCCUGCUUCUUCAAGAGACUUAUGACUCUCUGUCAUAAGCUCUCAGUUAUAGAACAGAGCUAUACAUAAAACGUGCAUAUACACAAAUGGGUAAGGAGUAUACCUGCACUAAAUAAUUCUUUCUCUCUGAAACUCAAUAACAACUGGCCUCUUGUCUGAAAAACAUCAGGACUCUUGCACUAAAGACCAGGCAGCCAUCCAGCUGUGCCCAGUUGCUAUUUUUUGGUAUCCAUUCUAAGAAGUUAUCAUUUUCAUGAGAAUGAAAAUGUUGUACCACAGAAAUUUUAACUUUGGAAAGCAACUCUUUGGAGUUCUAAUUUCUCGUAGGGCAAUAUUUUUCAGGCUUGUUGGGUUUCUGUGUUUGAACAUCUGAGUUCUCACUUUUAGAGGCUUGUGCUUCCUAGCACUCUAUCCUAUUACACCUAUGCCAGGACUUGGUAGCUAAAGUAUAAGCUGAAAUAAUUAUGUCGUUAAUUCAUGCUAAAACCUGUCUUACUCCAUUUAGCAAGUUUUAUUUUGAUAUAUCCAUACAAUCACUUCAAAUCACUACUUCAUUUUGGCAAUGCUAAAUUGUUUAUACAACGCUACUGUUCAUGCUCAUCCUGCAGAACAGCUAGUGAAGUAUGUCUGUAACCAUAUGGCUUGUUGUUAUCAUAUCAUUAUACCUCAUUUAAUAACAGUUCCUAAUAUAUUGGGUAUUGCAUAGAAGACACUCAAAUUUUUUUUUUGUAAGUAAGUACUGUUAACAAGGCAAGCUUCUGUCAGUAGGUUACGCUAAUAUUCAAUUUGUAUCAUAUUUAGAUAACAUCUUGAAUGUGUAAUUAUUUCUAUUUGACUCAAUGGCCUCGGUUGCUGAUGAGAACCCAAGCUUUGAGAAUCAGAGAUUGGUUCUUUCUUACUAAGUAAAACAAUGCAUUAUUUAUUUUAGAGUUAAUCCAAACUGACAUUUUUAUGACUGCUAUGGACAAAAUGUUUGUAUCUCCCCAAAAUUCAUAUGUUGAAGCCCUAAUCCCCUGUGUGGUUGUUUGGAGAUGAGACCUCUAAGGAAGAAAUUAAGGUUAAGCGAGGUCAUAAUGGUGACAGGCUCUCAUCAAACAGGAUUAGUGUCCUUAUAAAAAGGGACAUCAGAGACCACUGUACUGGCACAUUCUCCAUGUCCAGCCCCUAAACCAAUCCUGCUCACAACUUGAUCUUGGACUUCCAGACUCUGAAAGUCCAGCAAAGACAACUACAUCUAUCUUUGUCCGAUUGGCUCAUAAACAAAGUGGUCAUGGGCAGCAGCGAAGGAAGCUAUGCAUGGGCUAAGCAAUGUUCACUUCCACUCAUCAAAGCUGAUCUGACAACUGCCACUGCUGAGUGCCCAACCUGCUACCUGAGAUGGAUACUGAGCCCCCAGGAGGACCAGCUUGUGACUUGGUAGCAAAAACUCGACUGCCAUGAAACAUUGGGCUCUAAAGGAGAAACAACAAAAGAUACAAAGAGACUGUGGUACAUUUUCUCGUUUAUAUUAAUUUAAAGGGAAAUUGUUUCAUAUGGUUCUGAAACACUAACAAUGCAAUUAAUUCACCAGAAACAGAAAAAAAGUCUUUGUCUUGCUACCAUACUCAAUCAGAUUGAAUAAAGAAAUAGAAGGCAAAUUUGCUAAAGCAAAUUUCUCUUGUCUUUGUGUUGGCAGAAGUCUGUAGUCCCCUUGCUCUGCAUGUUCAA